Long non-coding RNA from Trachemys scripta elegans, 638 nucleotides. RefSeq lists it as uncharacterized. The record is from RefSeq and is a predicted model, not a curated record. Lineage: Eukaryota; Metazoa; Chordata; Testudines; Emydidae. The transcript has 3 exons.
UAAUGUCCUGUCCUUCUGCUCCUUAUCCAUAGGACACGAACCUGCAAGCUGAUCCAUAUGGGUGGACACAUGCAGAGCCUCACUGACUUCUAUGGGCAUCUGUACUGGUAUGAAGAAUUUGCCCACAAGGAACAAAUAGCAGGAUUAAGGCCAUAGUCAGUUCCAGUGAGAUCAGUCUCCAUGCCUGUACACACCUUGGCCUCUCUGCUGAGACUAACAAAGAUUUGAGUAUACUGGAGAAGGGAGAAAACAGCAAUUUGGAAUCAUUGACAAUUUUGUGAUGUAUCCUUGUUGAACCACACAUCCAAGACCCAUCUCUCCAAUGUAGAGAGAGAUCAUUGGUCCUUGAAUUGUAAUAGUUUCCCCUCUAGGCGUUGCUUGUCAGAACUUUCCUGACUGUAGUCAGGCAUUGUUUCUAAUAUUGGAAUUUGCAUUGCUGGAAGAUUGGUCUCUGCCCUUUCUGGGUUUAGACUUGUUCCAUUUGCUUUUGCUGUAAUCUCACCUUCUGUACAUAGAGGAGUAGCCAUGAAAAGGAUAUUUAGACCCGUAAUAAGAAUCUUUUCUAAUGGGCUCAUCUGAUGGAACAACCAAGUAUCUAAUCACCUUUCAUAACAUCUUCACAUAUGAUUCAGCUGGGA